GGACUGAUCGACAGCCUUCCUUUUCGCAAGUGGUGUCAGUUCGACGAGCGUUGAAACGUGCUGGGUUGUUAGUUUCAUCGAGACCGAGAGAAUUUAUUGAAUUUUAUACAUUUCAAAAUGUUCCAAGAACUCCUGAAAAUCAUCCUCAUCACAUUGAUAUCGCUCAUCGCGGUAAUGGCUAUCCCAGACAGCGUCACAUCGUUGCCCUGUCCGCCGGGCUUCCCGCACUGCGCGAAUUGGGACCCCGAUAAUCUCUAAAGAACUACCGCAACAGAGACUGGAGGAAGCCGUCAACCGGGGUCUUCACGGUGAGACGCAAGGAAUGCCAACAAGAGGAAGAGAGGGAGAAGUGGAAGGAGGACGGAGUACCAUAUACCGAAAAGCCCUGUCGUGGUUUUAGCGACGCGGACGGAUGGCUUGCGUCUCAUUGUAUGCAUAUUCGAACAGCUGGACGCCAGUGGCAUAUAAACACCAUGCCAUACCUGUAUGUCGCUCAUAGGAGUCCAAUGAGACUUAAAUCUACAGCUACCUCUCACUAAAUUCUCCUCCAACUCUUUGUUAAACAUUUAUUGAAAGAUGAUGGACUCAUUGAUGCCGAAAUACAUUACCUCCGUACGAUUAGUUUGCUAGGUUAUUUAUAGGAUUAAAUUAUCGAUUGUAAUUUUAUAAUUGUUAAUCAAUUAAACGAAUUGUGUGAACUUGAAAA
Diachasma alloeum is the source of this 706-nucleotide long non-coding RNA. RefSeq lists it as uncharacterized. NCBI's taxonomy places the organism in Eukaryota, Metazoa, Arthropoda, Insecta, Hymenoptera, Braconidae. The record is from RefSeq and is a predicted model, not a curated record. The transcript has 3 exons.